GUCACUACAAAUAACUCAAUUUCAUUUCUUUUUAUGGCUGAGUAAUAUUCCAUUGUAUAUAUGUGCCACAUCUUCUUUAACCAUUCAUCUGUCGAUGGACACUUAGGUUGCUACCAUGUCCUGGCUAUUGUAAAUGGUGCUGCAAUGAACACUGUGGUACAUCUCUUUUUCUAAAUUAUGGGUUUUCAGGGU
Orcinus orca (killer whale) is the source of this 192-nucleotide long non-coding RNA. RefSeq lists it as uncharacterized. The transcript has 2 exons. The record is from RefSeq and is a predicted model, not a curated record. Lineage: Eukaryota; Metazoa; Chordata; Mammalia; Artiodactyla; Delphinidae.